GUGAGCCAAUAGGAUCCUUCAGGUGACCUCAUGACUAGAGGAGUGGUGAGCCAAUAGGAUCCUUCAGGUGACCUCAUGACUAGAGGAGUGGUGAGCCAAUAGGAUCCUCCAGGUGACCUCAUGACUAGAGGAGUGGUGAGCCAAUAGGAUCCUUCAGGUGACCUCAUGACUAGAGGAGUGGUGAGCCAAUAGGAUCCUUCAGGUGACCUCAUGACUAGAGGAGUGGUGAGCCAAUAGGAUCCUUCAGGUGACCUCAUGACUAGAGGAGUGGUGAGCCAAUAGGAUCCUUCAGGUGACCUCAUGACUC
Long non-coding RNA from Pseudoliparis swirei, 307 nucleotides. RefSeq lists it as uncharacterized. The record is from RefSeq and is a predicted model, not a curated record. NCBI's taxonomy places the organism in Eukaryota, Metazoa, Chordata, Actinopteri, Perciformes, Liparidae. The transcript has 4 exons.